GUCCGUCCUCUCUGUGGAUAGGUGCUGAAGCAUGGAUGGAUGGUGAAGAUGGGGUUGGAAGGUGGACUUGAUUCCUGUGAUUACCAGUGCUGAUGUUUGUUUAUCGUCGUCCUCGGCAGUGCAGUGCAGUGCAUCAUCUGGACUAGCCGAAGACCGAUUUCGACCGCCCUCUAGUUGAUUUCACAUUUUGUUAAUUAUUAAUGUAAUCCUUCGUAAGGAUGAUGAUCGAUCCCCCACAGCAUAUUUUGUACCUUAGCUGCUUAAAUCCCUGUUCGUCCAAUGGCGAUGAACGAACUCCCAAUGUAUUUGUGUAAUCCUUUGCUAUUAUCAAGUAAAUGAUGUUUAUCUAUAUUUACUAUCAGUAAAGUAAUAUUCCC
Molecule: long non-coding RNA, 377 nt
Filed under: Triticum aestivum (bread wheat)
Lineage: Eukaryota; Viridiplantae; Streptophyta; Magnoliopsida; Poales; Poaceae
Description: long non-coding RNA (TAES_LNC026859)
Source: RNAcentral